This 533-nucleotide ribosomal RNA is filed under the name uncultured endophytic bacterium. RNAcentral's name for it is "partial 16S ribosomal RNA". The record is from RNAcentral.
CACUGUGGAAUUCGCCCUUCGGCUGCUGGCACAGAGUUAGCCGGUGCUUAUUCUGUCGGUAACGUCAAAAUUGCAGAGUAUUAAUCUACAACCCUUCCUCCCAACUUAAAGUGCUUUACAAUCCGAAGACCUUCUUCACACACGCGGCAUGGCUGGAUCAGGCUCUCGCCCAUUGUCCAAUAUUCCCCACUGCUGCCUCCCGUAGGAGUCUGGACCGUGUCUCAGUUCCAGUGUGACUGAUCAUCCUCUCAGACCAGUUACGGAUCGUCGCCUUGGUGAGCCAUUACCUCACCAACUAGCUAAUCCGACCUAGGCUCAUCUGAUAGCGCAAGGCCCGAAGGUCCCCUGCUUUCUCCCGUAGGACGUAUGCGGUAUUAGCGUCCCUUUCGAGACGUUGUCCCCCACUACCAGGCAGAUUCCUAGGCAUUACUCACCCGUCCGCCGCUGAAUCAGAGAGCAAGCUCUCUUCAUCCGCUCGACUUGCAUGUGUUAGGCCUGCCGCCAGCGUUCAAUCUGAGCCAGGAUCAAACUCU